UUUCACAACCAUCAGAGCUUAGUGCUCACUUCUUUUCUUCCAGGACACACAUACUCAUGAUUGCCAAUAAUAUCUGUGGUCCUUAGCUAUAACGUACUCAACUUGAGGGUGGUGGAAGAUCUCCAUGAAUACUGAAGUUUGAAUUUUAGCUCCAGAACUUAUUUGCUGUGUGUGAACUUGGGUAACCCAAGAGGAACCAGAUGGGAACAGAGAUGAGAAAGAUAAAGAGAAAAGCUGCAUUGUGCAAUUGGAUUCUCUAUGAUUCUUCAGACAUUUUCAGUGAAAUACAAUAAACCCAAGAAUGUCUGAUAGAGAAAAAUCCGUAUAUGUGCUGCCAUGUUCACAAGAGCCUUUGCAGAUGGUCUGUCCGUAUGCUACAGUAGAGCAAGAGCAGCACCACUGAGCUCCUAGUGCCAGACAGAGGAAAAGAGACAAGUUGGGAAAGAGAGAGGAAGAAAGGUAUGAGUAAAGUUUGGCAUUGGAAAGAAAACAGCAUCUGUAGAAAAGCUGUAGACAGUUCUGCUUCCUUAAAGUGGAGAGUUAAACUCACCUUUUGACAGCAUACUUUCUUUGCAUAGAAGAAUAACCCACAGUGGCCUUUAGACACAUGAGUUUUACUAGAAAUGUGACUGCAUAGUAUGGAGAAAGUCGGAAAACACUGUUUAUCACAAAUGGCUUGGUUUUUGAAUGGACUUUUUAAGUAUUUUAUUCAAACACAAAUAUUUGACAUCAAAUGUUUCGACAAAUGAAGUUUUAAAAUGCAAAAAUUAGCUUUACAUUUGAUAAUUCCAAGAUCAUCAUCAGUAACAAAAACACCUAAAACUCUCACCACCAGUGAGAUGGAAAAGGAUAUUUCGACACUGGGGGACAAGGGAGGGGCAUAUGAGAUUUUGCACUAGGACCCAUUUUACUUACUGGCCACAGUACAUUAUCCAGGUUUCCACAGAUAAGGGGAAUACAUGAAAUAGAAAUUUCUUGAUAGUCAAUAGGAACUUCAAAUGUGAUUACAGAUCAUUUGUGUACUUCAAAACAAUCCCUAAUGCAAGCAGAAGAUGAAACAAAUCCUAGGCAAAAGUUUAACUGGGGACCAAAAAGGGAAGAAGGACAGGAGGCAGAAAGGGAGAAGAAAGAGGCCAUCUCAGUCUCUUGGAUUAUGAAAAUACAAAGCACCUUUUAAAGGUUGUGGCAGAUUAAACUAAGAAGUAAGAAGGAGACCUGUCUACAGAGACUUACUGGCCACAUAUUGAGGUUUGGAUAUUGGUAGGUAAAGAGAAGGCACUGAAAGGAUUUAAGUGAGAAAAUGACAAAUCAGAUUUAUAUUUUUGGUUAAACAGUUGGG
Molecule: non-coding RNA, 1339 nt
Organism: Macaca mulatta (Rhesus monkey)
Lineage: Eukaryota; Metazoa; Chordata; Mammalia; Primates; Cercopithecidae
Source: RefSeq, a predicted model, not a curated record